AUUGAACGCUGGCGGCAUGCUUUACACAUGCAAGUCGAACGGUAACAGGCCUUCGGGUGCUGACGAGUGGCGAACGGGUGAGUAAUGCAUCGGAACGUACCCAGAGGUGGGGGAUAACGCAGCGAAAGCUGUGCUAAUACCGCAUGUGAUCUGAGGAUGAAAGCGGGGGACCGAGCAGCAAUGUUUGGCCUCGCGCCUUUGGAGCGGCCGAUGUCGGAUUAGCUAGUUGGUGGGGUAAAGGCCUACCAAGGCGACGAUCCGUAGCUGGUCUGAGAAGACGACCAGCCACACUGGGACUGAGACACGGCCCAGACUCCUACGGGAGGCAGCAGUGGGGAAUUUUGGACAAUGGGCGCAAGCCUGAUCCAGCAAUGCCGCGUGCGGGAAGAAGGCCUUCGGGUUGUAAACCGCUUUUGGCAGGAACGAAACGGUGUCCGCUAAUACCGGGCGCUAAUGACGGUACCUGCAGAAUAAGCACCGGCUAACUACGUG
Molecule: ribosomal RNA, 492 nt
Filed under: uncultured bacterium
Lineage: Bacteria
Description: partial 16S ribosomal RNA
Rfam family: Bacterial small subunit ribosomal RNA
Source: RNAcentral